RNAcentral lists this ribosomal RNA (471 nucleotides) under uncultured bacterium. RNAcentral describes it as "bacterial SSU rRNA". It matches the Rfam family "Bacterial small subunit ribosomal RNA", at positions 28 to 517 of the family's 1533-position model. The record is from RNAcentral.
GACGAACGCUGGCGGCGUGCCUAACACAUGCAAGUCGAACGAGGUCCAUCCUUCGGGAGAAGACCUAGUGGCGAACGGGUGAGUAACACGCGAGGAACCUGCCCCGAAGACCGGGAUAACCCUCCGAAAGGAGAGCUAAUACCGGAUACCCCCACCGAACCGCAUGGUUUGGUGAGGAAAUGGAUUCCGCUUCGGGAGGGCCUCGCGGCCUAUCAGCUAGUUGGUGGGGUAACGGCCCACCAAGGCAUCGACGGGUAGCUGGUCUGAGAGGACGAUCAGCCACACUGGGACUGAGACAUGGCCCAGACUCCUACGGGAGGCAGCAGUGGGGAAUCUUGCGCAAUGGGCGAAAGCCUGACGCAGCAACGCCGCGUGGGGAUGAAGGCUCUCGGGUUGUAAACCCCUUUCAGCAGGGACGAAUCAAGACGGUACCUGCAGAAGAAGCCCCGGCUAACUACGUGCCAGCAGCCG